GACGAACGCUGGCGGCGUGCUUAACACAUGCAAGUCGAACGGAAAGGCCCUGCUUUUGUGGGGUGCUCGAGUGGCGAACGGGUGAGUAACACGUGAGUAACCUGCCCUUGACUUUGGGAUAACUUCAGGAAACUGGGGCUAAUGCCGGAUAGGAGCUCCUGCUGCAUGGUGGGGGUUGGAAAGUUUCGGCGGUUGGGGAUGGACUCGCGGCUUAUCAGCUUGUUGGUGGGGUAGUGGCUUACCAAGGCUUUGACGGGUAGCCGGCCUGAGAGGGUGACUGGCCACAUUGGGACUGAGAUACGGCCCAGACUCCUACGGGAGGCAGCAGUGGGGAAUAUUGCACAAUGGGCGGAAGCCUGAUGCAGCAACGCCGCGUGCGGGAUGACGGCCUUCGGGUUGUAAACCGCUUUCGCCUGUGACGAAGCGUGAGUGACGGUAAUGGGUAAAGAAGCACCGGCUAACUACGUG
RNAcentral lists this ribosomal RNA (468 nucleotides) under uncultured bacterium. Its description in RNAcentral is "partial 16S ribosomal RNA". It matches the Rfam family "Bacterial small subunit ribosomal RNA", at positions 28 to 507 of the family's 1533-position model. The record is from RNAcentral.